GACGAACGCUGGCGGCGUGCUUAACACAUGCAAGUCGAGCGGUAAGGCCCUUUCGGGGUACGACGAGCGGCGAACGGGUGAGUAACACGUGGGUGACCUGCCCUCCAGCUCUGGGAUAAGCCUGGGAAACCGGGUACUAAUACCGGAUAUGACUCCAUGACGCAUGUUGUGGGGUGGAAAGCCUUGUGCGGCUGAGGAUGGGCCCGCGGCCUAUCAGCUUGUUGGUGGGGUGAUGGCCUACCAAGGCGACGACGGGUAGCCGGCCUGAGAGGGCGACCGGCCACACUGGGACCGAGACACGGCCCA
This 306-nucleotide ribosomal RNA is filed under the name uncultured bacterium. RNAcentral describes it as "bacterial SSU rRNA". It matches the Rfam family "Bacterial small subunit ribosomal RNA", at positions 28 to 333 of the family's 1533-position model. The record is from RNAcentral.